RNAcentral lists this unclassified non-coding RNA (200 nucleotides) under Helotiales sp. Its description in RNAcentral is "partial internal transcribed spacer 2". The record is from RNAcentral. Lineage: Eukaryota; Fungi; Ascomycota; Leotiomycetes; Helotiales.
UUAAGUUCAGCGGGUAUCCCUACCUGAUCCGAGGUCAACCAUAGAAAAUUGGGGGUUAAUGGCAAGCAUCCACCGGGACUCUAUAGCGAGAAGAAUUACUACGCUUAGAGCCAGAUGGCACCGCCACUGAUUUUAAGGGCUGCCCGUGCGGCAGGCCCCAACACCAAGCUGAGCUUGAGGGGUUAUAAUGACGCUCGAAC